GCGGAGGAAAAGAAACCAACAGGGAUUGCCCUAGUAACGGCGAGUGAAGCGGCAACAGCUCAAAUUUGAAAUCUGGCGUCUUCGGCGUCCGAGUUGUAAUUUGCAGAGGGCGCUUUGGCAUUGGCAGCGGUCCAAGUUCCUUGGAACAGGACGUCACAGAGGGUGAGAAUCCCGUACGUGGUCGCUAGCCUUUACCGUGUAAAGCCCCUUCGACGAGUCGAGUUGUUUGGGAAUGCAGCUCUAAAUGGGAGGUAAAUUUCUUCUAAAGCUAAAUACUGGCCAGAGACCGAUAGCGCACAAGUAGAGUGAUCGAAAGAUGAAAAGCACUUUGGAAAGAGAGUUAAAAAGCACGUGAAAUUGUUGAAAGGGAAGCGCUUGCAGCCAGACUUGCCUGUAGUUGCUCAUCCGGGUUUCUACCCGGUGCACUCUUCUACGGGCAGGCCAGCAUCAGUUUGGGCGGUUGGAUAAAGGUCUCUGUCAUGUACCUCUCUUCGGGGAGAACUUAUAGGGGAGACGACAUGCAACCAGCCUGGACUGAGGUCCGCGCAUCUGCUAGGAUGCUGGCGUAAUGGCUGUAAGCGGCCCGUCUUGAAACACGGACCAAGGAGUCUAACAUCUAUGCGAGUGUUUGGGUGUCAAGCCCGAGCGCGUAAUGAAAGUGAACGGAGGUGGGAACCUUUCGGGGUGCACCAUCGACCGAUCCUGAUGUCUUCGGAUGGAUUUGAGUAAGAGCAUAGCUGUUGGGACCCGAAAGAUGGUGAACUAUGCUUGAAUAGGGUGAAGCCAGAGGAAACUCUGGUGGAGGCUCGCAGCGGUUCUGACGUGCAAAUCGAUCGUCAAA
RNAcentral lists this small RNA (841 nucleotides) under Didymella heteroderae. RNAcentral's name for it is "eukaryotic LSU rRNA". It matches the Rfam family "Eukaryotic large subunit ribosomal RNA", at positions 50 to 909 of the family's 3401-position model. Lineage: Eukaryota; Fungi; Ascomycota; Dothideomycetes; Pleosporales; Didymellaceae. The record is from RNAcentral.